RNAcentral lists this ribosomal RNA (429 nucleotides) under Bacteroidota bacterium. RNAcentral's name for it is "Bacteroidetes bacterium partial 16S ribosomal RNA". It matches the Rfam family "Bacterial small subunit ribosomal RNA", at positions 355 to 776 of the family's 1533-position model. The record is from RNAcentral. Lineage: Bacteria; Pseudomonadati; Bacteroidota.
UAGGGAAUCUUCGGCAAUGGGGGGAACCCUGACCGAGCAACGCCGCGUGAGUGAAGAAGGUUUUCGGAUCGUAAAGCUCUGUUGUUAAGGAAGAACGAGUGUGAGAAUGGAAAGUUCAUACUGUGACGGUACUUAACCAGAAAGGGACGGCUAACUACGUGCCAGCAGCCGCGGUAAUACGUAGGUCCCGAGCGUUGUCCGGAUUUAUUGGGCGUAAAGCGAGCGCAGGCGGUUAGAUAAGUCUAAAGUUAAAGGCAGUGGCUCAACCAUUGUAGGCUUUGGAAACUGUUUAACUUGAGUGCAGAAGGGGAGAGUGGAAUUCCAUGUGUAGCGGUGAAAUGCGUAGAUAUAUGGAGGAACACCGGUGGCGAAAGCGGCUCUCUGGUCUGUAACUGACGCUGAGGCUCGAAAGCGUGGGGAGCGAACAGG